GACCAUCCUCCAAGGCUAAAUACUCCUGACUGACCGAUAGUGAACCAGUACCGUGAGGGAAAGGCGAAAAGAACCCCGGCGAGGGGAGUGAAAAAGAACCUGAAACCGUGUACGUACAAGCAGUGGGAGCCUCUUAAUGGGGUGACUGCGUACCUUUUGUAUAAUGGGUCAGCGACUUAUAUUCUGUAGCAAGGUUAACCGAAUAGGGGAGCCGAAGGGAAACCGAGUCUUAACUGGGCGCUAAGUUGCAGGGUAUAGACCCGAAACCCGGUGAUCUAGCCAUGGGCAGGUUGAAGGUUGGGUAACACUAACUGGAGGACCGAACCGACUAAUGUUGAAAAAUUAGCGGAUGACUUGUGGCUGGGGGUGAAAGGCCAAUCAAACCGGGAGAUAGCUGGUUCUCCCCGAAAGCUAUUUAGGUAGCGCCUCGUGAAUUCAUCUCCGGGGGUAGAGCACUGUUUCGGCAAGGGGGUCAUCCCGACUUACCAACCCGAUGCAAACUGCGAAUACCGGAGAAUGUUAUCACGGGAGACACACGGCGGGUGCUAACGUCCGUCGUGAAGAGGGAAACAACCCAGACCGCCAGCUAAGGUCCCAAAGUCAUGGUUAAGUGGGAAACGAUGUGGGAAGGCCCAGACAGCCAGGAUGUUGGCUUAGAAGCAGCCAUCAUUUAAAGAAAGCGUAAUAGCUCACUGGUCGAGUCGGCCUGCGCGGAAGAUGUAACGGGGCUAAACCAUGCACCGAAGCUGCGGCAGCGACACUAUGUGUUGUUGGGUAGGGGAGCGUUCUGUAAGCCUGUGAAGGUGGCCUGUGAGGGUUGCUGGAGGUAUCAGAAGUGCGAAUGCUGACAUAAGUAACGAUAAAGCGGGUGAAAAGCCCGCUCGCCGGAAGACCAAGGGUUCCUGUCCAACGUUAAUCGGGGCAGGGUGAGUCGACCCCUAAGGCGAGGCCGAAAGGCGUAGUCGAUGGGAAACAGGUUAAUAUUCCUGUACUUGGUGUUACUGCGAAGGGGGGACGGAGAAGGCUAUGUUGGCCGGGCGACGGUUGUCCCGGUUUAAGCGUGUAGGCUGGUUUUCCAGGCAAAUCCGGAAAACCAAGGCUGAGGCGUGAUGACGAGGCACUACGGUGCUGAAGCGACAAAUGCCCUGCUUCCAGGAAAAGCCUCUAAGCAUCAGGUAACAUCAAAUCGUACCCCAAACCGACACAGGUGGUCAGGUAGAGAAUACCAAGGCGCUUGAGAGAACUCGGGUGAAGGAACUAGGCAAAAUGGUGCCGUAACUUCGGGAGAAGGCACGCUGAUAUGUAGGUGAAGCGACUUGCUCGUGGAGCUGAAAUCAGUCGAAGAUACCAGCUGGCUGCAACUGUUUAUUAAAAACACAGCACUGUGCAAACACGAAAGUGGACGUAUACGGUGUGACGCCUGCCCGGUGCCGGAAGGUUAAUUGAUGGGGUUAGCGGUAACGCGAAGCUCUUGAUCGAAGCCCCGGUAAACGGCGGCCGUAACUAUAACGGUCCUAAGGUAGCGAAAUUCCUUGUCGGGUAAGUUCCGACCUGCACGAAUGGCGUAAUGAUGGCCAGGCUGUCUCCACCCGAGACUCAGUGAAAUUGAACUCGCUGUGAAGAUGCAGUGUACCCGCGGCAAGACGGAAAGACCCCGUGAACCUUUACUAUAGCUUGACACUGAACAUUGAGCCUUGAUGUGUAGGAUAGGUGGGAGGCUUUGAAGUGUGGACGCCAGUCUGCAUGGAGCCGACCUUGAAAUACCACCCUUUAAUGUUUGAUGUUCUAACGUUGGCCCCUAAUCGGGGUUGCGGACAGUGUCUGGUGGGUAGUUUGACUGGGGCGGUCUCCUCCUAAAGAGUAACGGAGGAGCACGAAGGUUGGCUAAUCCUGGUCGGACAUCAGGAGGUUAGUGCAAUGGCAUAAGCCAGCUUGACUGCGAGCGUGACGGCGCGAGCAGGUGCGAAAGCAGGUCAUAGUGAUCCGGUGGUUCUGAAUGGAAGGGCCAUCGCUCAACGGAUAAAAGGUACUCCGGGGAUAACAGGCUGAUACCGCCCAAGAGUUCAUAUCGACGGCGGUGUUUGGCACCUCGAUGUCGGCUCAUCACAUCCUGGGGCUGAAGUAGGUCCCAAGGGUAUGGCUGUUCGCCAUUUAAAGUGGUACGCGAGCUGGGUUUAGAACGUCGUGAGACAGUUCGGUCCCUAUCUGCCGUGGGCGCUGGAGAACUGAGGGGGGCUGCUCCUAGUACGAGAGGACCGGAGUGGACGCAUCACUGGUGUUCGGGUUGUCAUGCCAAUGGCACUGCCCGGUAGCUAAAUGCGGAAGAGAUAAGUGCUGAAAGCAUCUAAGCACGAAACUUGCCCCGAGAUGAGUUCUCCCUGAGACUUAGAGUCUCCUGAAGGAACGUUGAAGACGACGACGUUGAUAGGCCGGGUGUGUAAGCGCAGCGAUGCGUUGAGCUAACCGGUACUAAUGAACCGUGAGGCUUAACCUU
Molecule: ribosomal RNA, 2494 nt
Filed under: Escherichia coli UMEA 3230-1
Lineage: Bacteria; Pseudomonadati; Pseudomonadota; Gammaproteobacteria; Enterobacterales; Enterobacteriaceae
Description: bacterial LSU rRNA
Rfam family: Bacterial large subunit ribosomal RNA
Source: RNAcentral